RNAcentral lists this ribosomal RNA (497 nucleotides) under uncultured bacterium. Its description in RNAcentral is "partial 16S ribosomal RNA". It matches the Rfam family "Bacterial small subunit ribosomal RNA", at positions 28 to 507 of the family's 1533-position model. The record is from RNAcentral.
GAUGAACGCUGGCGGCGUGCCUAAUACAUGCAAGUCGAGCGAACAGACGAGGAGCUUGCUCCUCUGACGUUAGCGGCGGACGGGUGAGUAACACGUGGAUAACCUACCUAUAAGACUGGGAUAACUUCGGGAAACCGGAGCUAAUACCGGAUAAUAUAUUGAACCGCAUGGUUCAAUAGUGAAAGACGGUUUUGCUGUCACUUAUAGAUGGAUCCGCGCCGCAUUAGCUAGUUGGUAAGGUAACGGCUUACCAAGGCAACGAUGCGUAGCCGACCUGAGAGGGUGAUCGGCCACACUGGAACUGAGACACGGUCCAGACUCCUACGGGAGGCAGCAGUAGGGAAUCUUCCGCAAUGGGCGAAAGCCUGACGGAGCAACGCCGCGUGAGUGAUGAAGGUCUUCGGAUCGUAAAACUCUGUUAUUAGUGAAGAACAAAUGUGUAAGUAACUAUGCACAUCUUGACGGUACCUAAUCAGAAAGCCACGGCUAACUACGUG